Molecule: ribosomal RNA, 775 nt
Filed under: uncultured Neocallimastigales
Lineage: Eukaryota; Fungi; Neocallimastigomycota; Neocallimastigomycetes; Neocallimastigales
Description: partial large subunit ribosomal RNA
Rfam family: Eukaryotic large subunit ribosomal RNA
Source: RNAcentral
CGCAUCUGUGCAUGCAGCAUAUCAAUAAGCGGAGGAAAAGAAACUAACAAGGAUUCCCCUCGUAACGGCGAGUGAAGCGGGAAGAGCUCAAAUUUGAAAUCUUAAAGGGUUCCCUUUCACGAAUUGUAGUUUAAAGGAGUGUUUUCUGUUGAGCGUAUCGGUAAUAUAAGUUCUUUGGAAUAGGACAUCACAGAGGGUGAGAAUCCCGUCUAUGAUUGCGAUUUGUAGCUUUGUGAUACACUUUCAAAGAGUCGGAUUGUUUGGGAAUGCAGCCCAAAACGGGAGGUAAAUUUCUUCUAAGGCUAAAUAUUGGCGAGAGACCGAUAGCGAACAAGUACCGUGAGGGAAAGAUGAAAAGAACUUUGAAAAGAGAGUUAAAUAGUACGUGAAAUUGUCAAAAGGGAAGCGUUUAACACCAGUGUUGUUUUCUGAAAAUCAACCUCUGUUAGCUUUAUGCAUGUUUGUUUAGACCUAAUCAGCUAUCUUGCAUGUUCUAUUGUUUGCAGUGGUGCACUUUUCAGUUUACAGGUCAACAUCAGUUUUUUUUACCGUAAAAAAGUUAAAGAAAGGUAGCUCAUGGCUCCGGUCGUGAGUGUUAUAGUCUUUUUCCUAUGCGGUAGGAGAGACUGAGGUCUGCAGUGUAGGCUAUUUGGCUAGAUACUCAGGUGCUAUGUGAUACCAUUUCAUAAACAACUUGUUGAUUAUGUUUUGUCUAUUGCAUACUCGCUUGUACUAUCAUACCUACGCUUAGGAUGUUGACGAUCAGCUGAGCGCG